This 217-nucleotide ribosomal RNA is filed under the name uncultured bacterium. RNAcentral describes it as "partial 16S ribosomal RNA". It matches the Rfam family "Bacterial small subunit ribosomal RNA", at positions 116 to 334 of the family's 1533-position model. The record is from RNAcentral.
CAUCGGAAUCUACCCUGUCGUGGGGGACAACGUAGGGAAACUUACGCUAAUACCGCAUACGACCUUUGGGUGAAAGCGGGGGACUCGCAAGAGCCUCGCGCGAUUGGAUGAGCCGAUGUCCGAUUAGCUAGUUGGCGGGGUAAUGGCCCACCAAGGCGACGAUCGGUAGCUGGUCUGAGAGGAUGAUCAGCCACACUGGGACUGAGACACGGCCCAG